This 436-nucleotide ribosomal RNA is filed under the name uncultured bacterium. RNAcentral describes it as "partial 16S ribosomal RNA". It matches the Rfam family "Bacterial small subunit ribosomal RNA", at positions 29 to 507 of the family's 1533-position model. The record is from RNAcentral.
AACGAACGCUGGCGGCAUGCCUAACACAUGCAAGUCGAACGAGAUCCUUCGGGGUCUAGUGGCGCACGGGUGCGUAACGCGUGGGAAUCUGCCCUUAGGUUCGGAAUAACAGUUAGAAAUGACUGCUAAUACCGGAUGAUGACGUUAAGUCCAAAGAUUUAUCGCCUGAGGAUGAGCCCGCGUAGGAUUAGCUAGUUGGUGUGGUAAAGGCGCACCAAGGCGACGAUCCUUAGCUGGUCUGAGAGGAUGAUCAGCCACACUGGGACUGAGACACGGCCCAGACUCCUACGGGAGGCAGCAGUGGGGAAUAUUGGACAAUGGGCGCAAGCCUGAUCCAGCAAUGCCGCGUGAGUGAUGAAGGCCUUAGGGUUGUAAAGCUCUUUUACCCGGGAUGAUAAUGACAGUACCGGGAGAAUAAGUCCCGGCUAACUCCGUG